Psammomys obesus (fat sand rat) is the source of this 5713-nucleotide long non-coding RNA. RefSeq lists it as uncharacterized. Lineage: Eukaryota; Metazoa; Chordata; Mammalia; Rodentia; Muridae. The transcript has 4 exons. The record is from RefSeq and is a predicted model, not a curated record.
UAUGUGUGCCCGUGGGAGAAGUCUAAAGGGAGAGGAUAGGAAAACACUCCUAAUGUGAAAGUAGAAAGGGGGAUACUGACGAAGAAGAGGUUGAAAGGUAGACAGAAAUGAAGAGCAGAGGAAGAAUAAGAAUGUGAGCGAGGCCAACCAAAACUAAAGAUAGAUGAAAAACCCAAAUGGAAACGACUGUAUAAAUGAAGUCUUCCUGAGUGAGCUGGAAUCUCAAAGUAGAGCUUCCUUCAGAGGCCAGAAGAGGGCAUCAGAGAACCUGGAGUUACUGGUGGCUUUGAGCUGCCUCACUUGGGUCUAGGAAACUAAGGUUCCUUCAGCCCUCUGCAAUUGCAAGCGAUGCUUAACUGCUGAGUUGCAGCUCUUCAGUGAGACCCCAGGAACAGCAACCAUUUUACUGUGAAGGACAAGGAUGCAGGUUCCAGACAUCUCGGGAUUAUCCGGGGCCAGCGCUUUAUUGAUGGAGCUAUCUUCCCAGUCCCUUAAGAUGGUGAAGAAGCUAACCUGCCUGCAGAGAAAUGACAGAGAACGAGGUUCUGGGUUUGGAGAGAAAGUUCUGUGCUUAAAGAGCUUGCUGUGCAAGCAGUAAGUGAAACUGGAGUUAGGUCUACAGGAAAGUGUGGUGUCCACACACUGGCAAAUCCUGGCACACUGGAAAAGCGGGAGUAAGGAGCCCUGCAGCAAACCUUUCAUCUAGACAAGCCAUAUCAAUCAUCUCUGAAGGUUCACCUGAGAGACCUCAGUGAUUAAGGUGGAGAGAAAUCAAGGAAGAUGCUUGACGCUGGCGUUGGAUCUCCACAGGCACACACUCAGACCUGCAAAACACACACACACACACACACACACACACACACAGACCAUGUACAUAGACAUGAUAAAAAAAUAAAAGGAAGCUCCCUGGCAAGUCAAAGGAGAAAAUGAUUAUGAUGCUAACAUUAAAAAAGAAAAAGAUUUCUGAGAAAUGAAUGACAUACUUUUCCUGAACAUCCACUGCUCACCGGUGCUCAACUCUACUCUGUAAUCAUAACGGUGCCUCUCAGAGCUAGCAUCCCUGGUAAAUCUAAGCACAAACUGUCACUCAGGAAAUUUGAUGUUUCAGUGUAAGUCAACAGAAUUUGAAGUGCUCUGGGAUUUGAAUUUGAAGAUUCAUGAGGCAAAUUGAGAAUUUCAUGUGCAAUCUAGAAGAAAAAUUAUAAUUUGUGAGAAAUGUCAACUGUCUUCACCUUCACUAUGGUCAACUGGAGUCUCAGAACUAGGAAUGCUGGAAACAACCCAGAUGUCCAUCAACGGAGGAAUGGAUACAGAAAUUGUGGUACUUUUACACAAUGGAAUACUACUCAGCAAUUAAAAACAAGGAAAUCAUGAAUUUUGCAGGCAAAUGGUGGGAUCUAGAAAAAAAAAAUCAUCCUGAGUGAGGUAUCCCAAAAGCAGAAAGACAUACAUGGUAUAUACUCACUUAUAUAGCCCUAUAAGAUAGGAUAAACAUACUAAAAUAUGUACAACUAAAGAAGAUAAACAAGAAAGAGGUCCAGGGGUAAAAUAAUCAAUACUCAUCUAGAAAGACAAAGGGGAUGGACAUUAGAAAUAGGAGAAAACAAGUGGCAGGACAUUAGCCUACCACAGAGGGCACCUGAAAGACUCUACCUAGCAAUGUAUCAAGGCGUUGCUGAGACCCAUAACCAAGCCUUCUGCAGAGUGUAGCGAAUCAUAUGAAGGAAGGAGGAAUUAGUAUAUCCUAGAGGGGACAGGGAGCCCCACAAGGUCCAAAUAUAUCUGUGCACAGGGGUCUUCUAUGAGACUGUCUAUCCAACCAAGGACUAUGCAUGGAUAUAACCUACAACCCCUGCUCACACGUGUCCCAUGGUAGCUCAGUAUCCAAGAAGGUUCCCUAAUGAGGGGGACAGGGACUGUUUCUGACAUGAACUCAUGAACUUCCCCUCCCUUCUGAAGGAGAAGCAGCCUUGCUACACCACAGAUAAGGACAUUGCAGCCAUCAUGGGGAUACCUGAUAAGCUAGGGCCAGACUGAAGGAGAGGAGGACACCCCCUCUCAGUGGACUCAGAAGGGGGCAGGGAGGAGAUGAGGGAGAGAGGAAAAGAGGGAGGGGGCUACAGCUGGGAUACAGGUGAAUGUAUAAAAUUAUUUAAAAAUAAAAAAUAUUAAAAAAAAAAGAACUAGGAAUGUCUUAUACAUCUGAAUGUAGAAUCAGGUUAUGUGAGAGUUAUCAAAAGUCAAGGAAAACGAAAAUCGUGCUCCAUACUGUGUCAUCCUGGGGAGCCCGAAGGCAGAAUUUUGAGAUAUCUUAGACAAUGGAGCAACUCACUCUCUGGGGCUUGGGCUAGAAAGGUGGCCAGACACAGCUGGCUUACCAGGAUCUCCACUAAGAGGUGCUUUCCUUCCUCUUCUUGGAACAAGGACUGAGAUCCAUUCACUCAUUUUUCUCACAUCAGAGUCUACUCUGUCUCUUGGAAUUCCAUCUGCCAGAGAUAGUCCAUUUGAGAUGCUGUUGAGGUAUUGUGGAGCUUUUGAGAAGUAUGGCCUCAGUAGAAGUCUGUAGAUGAGUGGCUAAGAAGCCUUCGGAGGACAAGGGGGAUCCAGUACCUUCCUAUUGCAAUUUUAUCCUUUAUUGUGCUUUGGUUGCUUUGCUUUCAGUUGAGAUGCUUCAUUACAUCUCCCAAAAAAAAUAAGCCAACAAACCAUGGGCUGAAACCUCUAAAACCAUGAGCCAAACUAAAUCUCUUUCUCAAAAUAGUGAACUGAGACUUUUGUAAUAGUGACAGAAACCCAACUUACAUAAUAGCCAUAGUGGGGACAUGUAAUUAUCACUACACAGGACAUGCCACAGGUGUUUCACAAUCUGCUUGGUCUCAGUGAGACCUGAGGAGUUCCUGUCUGCGUGACCAAGAGAAUGGAGCAGUUGAGAAGAGAGUUUGGAGCCAGUGUGAAUGCCAUGGAGCACAUACUUCACAUCUUCUCACAUUCUGGAUGCCUGUUUCAUGCCAUGCAGCAGGCUAAUCCCUGAGGAUUAGGGCCAGGAAGACAUGUGGAAGGAGUGUGCAAUUGGGCAAGAGGAAAGGGGACAAAGCAGAUCCUAGCCAGGAGAUCUGACGAUUACUCAGGGAAGGUUAUAAAAUACAUCACUGUUCUAAGGGACAAACUGAGUCCUGACAAAUCUUCAAGGCAAGCUUUAACCAAGUCUCUUUCCCCCAACUAGAUAGGAUGAAUUGUUUUCCAAAAUAAAUCUGCAAAAUGAAAUUGACAAAAGUGAAAGGUCUUUGAGAAAAAUAUGAACUAAAAUCAGGUUCUCAAGAUGAAUAUUUCAGCACAACUCAGCAUAUAUUUAAAAUGAAAUGUAAAGUAUUCCUAUCAAGAAGGUUCAAAGCUCUCCAAGCAAAAUUGUUUGACCUGUUUGGCAGUAAAAUAAAUACAAUGUGUGGUCUGUUUCAGGCCCCUGUCCAAGUCCAAUCACAUUACAUUUUCAUAGUCUCAACAUUUAAAAGCUCCAUCACUGUUGUGUCAACAAUGGCAUAUGGGAACAUCUCCCAAACACAUGGCAACCAGCACAUUAUGCAAACACGUUUGCUCCAUGAGCCAGAAUCGGCUGAUUUCCAGAAAAUAAAAUCUUACCAAGUGACAGGAGGAUUUGUGUGCUACAUCUCAGAACCUCUUCAUUUGAAACACAGCACGUGAGCUUCAAGAGUUCAGAUCCACUCCAUGAACUGUCAGUUGACUUUCCAAAAUCACGAACAUCUUUUUUCAGUUCAAAUCAGGGAGCAGAGGCUAAAAUGCCAGUUCUCUGGCUCUGAACCCAGUUUGCUCUCCAUUGCACAGCAUGGUUAGCUUAAUUUUUCAUACUGCUUUAGUCUGAGAUACAAUUAGUAUGUACCCACCAAUGGUUUCCCCUUUUCAUUAUUAAAUAAAACAAGUAAUAUAUGACAGAAAGCUCAAACUUGAGUCCACAGGCUGGCUGCCAUGGGUUUAAAUUAAUUGCUUAAUUUUCCUAAACUGGUUUUAUAGCCUAGAACCAUGAAGAAUAAAUUGAAGAUGGUUUCAAAGACAGAAUGAAGAGGACUACAAAUAAUAAACACUAUACAAAUAUAUUAGUAUGUUAAUAAGAAUCAUUUUUCCUGACUGGGAUUAAGAAUCGGUGGGGAGCGGUACUUGUUGCCAAGGCUAAUGACCUGAAUUCUUUCUGUGGGACCCAGGUGGUUGAAGGAAAAGAACCAAGUCCUAUGGGUUGUCUUCUGCCCUCCACAGUGUACUGUGAUAAGUUUGCGUGUGAGCAUGCAUGCACACACACAGAAACAAAUAAAAAGUUGAGAGAAGCAUAUUCAACCAAAUUGCCUUGGGAAGAAUAGGAGUAAUAAAGUGUGCAGCUUGGUCAUGACCACUGAACCAGUGAUCAGCAAGACCUUCCCUGUUUUCUGGUUCAGUGACUUCCUAGGCAGAGCCUGGAAGCAAACAGAUGUUCACAAAAUACUUGCUCCACUAAGGAAGCCACAGGAAACUUGAACUGCAUAUUUUCCACAAGGGUCCAAAUCCCCAAGUACCUGCUGGUUUCACUGGCAUGUGCAAGGUUCGGUGAGCAAAUGCAUUCAUCUGAGACUAGUGUUAGUUGUUGUUCACAUGUUGGCUAGUGAAUGACAGCAUUUGAGUGGAAAGUUGAACAUUCAUUGUGUCCUUUCUUUGGUCCAGUCUAGAGUAUGAAAAGUUAUGCUUUAGCCUUCAGGGUGGGGCUUGCUUAUUCGUUCCCAUUUAUCAAAAAGUCAGGAGACCGUGGAGACAUACACAAGGCCAAGGAGCUUGCCGCAAGUUCAUCCGGUAAAUCCUCUCUGGGACACACAGAUCCUGAGGGAGGGCUGCCCUGCCAGACCACUUCCUGUGUUACAUCCUGAGGCCUUCACAGUUUUGGCCUCUCUCUAGCAGGCCCUUCCCUUUACAGCUGGUCUGCCUGACAGUUUUCAAACUAAAAUAAUUCAUGUCUCAGACAUCUUAUUACCACUUGUUUUGAGUUGAACACUGCCCCUUUCUUCCAAAUGGAUGCCUCUACCCUAAACACCUGAAUGUCAGUCACCAUUUGGAUAGAUACAGUGUCUUUGCUGAUGGAGUCAGACUGGGAAUCUCAAGUGGAAAUGAUCGAGAAUUUAGAUCUGCUACAUCAGAUGACUGCAGUCCUCCUAAGAGAAAAGGGACGGUUUGAGCAUAGAGACAUGGAGGAGCUAGAGCUACAGAGGCUACAGAGAAGAAUAUGCUGCAAAUACAGACACAGGCUCUGCUCAGAUGUACGUAUCGUAUCAUUCCGGUAGCAUCACAGCCUGUGUGAAGAGCUAGCACAGAUGUGUACACAGAGUCUUUUAGACUUCUGGUCUCUAGGACUGUGAAUGAACACUUUUGCCUCUUUGAGCAACUGUGGCAUCUCCGUGGGUCAUGUCUUAAGGCACCUCAAAGAAAUGAAAGCAUCACAAGACCACUUCCUCCAUACAGAAUAAAGAGGAGCCCUCGGGGGCUUUUCAACACACUUAGGAAUCAGGGAUCCCAUACAGAGCCAAACGUGUAGGUUGCACUCCACAUGAGAAAACCUGGCGUGAACUACAAGCCACACAAGGACAACACCAGCCGUGGCUGCCCAGCAUCCAGUCUUGCUCUGGAUCUGAGAUCACCUAGUAUCAAGAGCAACGCUGACUUAAAACAUAUCACUCCUCCC